AUCGAGAGGGGCUCCGGAGAAGGAAGGCUGCUCCGCGCACCGGCGCGCCCUUCUCCUCUCCCCUCCCUACCUCCCCCUCUCUUCCCCCUUUUUUCCCCCGCCUCCCGUCUUCUUCCGCGCCUCCGAGGGUCCGCCUCUGCCUCGGGGACCCCCGGGCGGGCCGGGGCUUGGCCGCCGAGGUGCGCCCCGGCCGGAGGGGCCCCCGCACCUCGGCGGCCGCCCCCUCCGGCGCCGCGCGUUCGCGAAAGGCGCGAAAGGGGCCCCCGGAGGCUUUUUUCGAUUCCCGGCCGGGGGUCCCGGGUAGCCGCCCGGCGCCGGUCGGAAGGCGUCCCCCGCCCGGCGGUCCGGCCCGGGCCCCCGGCGGAGCGCGGGGGCCCCGGGGCCCCGGGCCGCGCCGGCGGCGUUUCCGCGUUCCGUUUCUUCUCCCUCCCGGCCGCCCCGCUCCCGGGCCCGACCCUCGCCCCUUCCCUUCUCCUCGUCUUCCCCCGUCCCGCCGCGCCCCUUCCCUCUUCCUUCUCUCUCUCUGUCUCGCUGUCUCGCUCUCCUCACAUUUCCCCCCCCCCCCCCGCCGCCGCCGCCGCCCUCUGCCCGCGUCCCACCGAGACGCCGCGCCGCGUGAGCCGUCCGCCGGGGGACCCAGGCUCCGGGGGGGGGGCGCGCCUGCGUGUGUCUCGUGUGAGAGAGCGCGCCCCUCGAACGCCGCGCGUUCUCGCAGGGACGCGACGCUCCCACCAGCCCCGCCCGCAGAGGAAGAGGCGGAGGAGGAGGAGGAGGAGGCGGAAGAGGAGGAGGAGGAGGCGGAAGAGGAGGAGGAGGAAGAGGCGGCGGCGGCGGCGACCGCGGCCUGGGACGACGGAGACGCCGACGGGGGCGCGGCGCCCGCGGACGCCGGGGCGAGCGGCCCGUGGCCGCGCCCGCCCGAGUCCGAGUCCGGGGCCCGGCGCGGCGCCGCCCUCUUGGCCCCCACCCCCUGGGGGGCGAGGGGCGAGCGCGGGGCGGCGGAGGAAGAGGCGGAGGACGAGGCCGCAGGGCCCGAGUCCGACCCGCGCCUCUUCCGGGGGCGGGCCGCCGCCCCCUCCGCGGCGUGGGGGGCGGCACCGGGGGUGUUGGUGCCGCGGGGGACCCCGGGUCCUCCCUCCGCGCCCGGCCCUCCCGACCCGCGCGCGUCGGUCGCGCCUGCCCGGCCCAGACUCUGUGCUUGGGUGUCGGUCUGAGCCUGGGUCAUGCGCGACCGGGGCGCGCGGUGCGCGUCCACCGGCACGGCGGGCGGCGCGGGCCCGGCCGCGUCCGCGCUCGCAGACACCACGGGGGCGGCGGCGGCGCGGGGCGGACUCCGGACGCGCGGGGCGACGGCCGCGCGGGGGCGCGCCGCGCGCCCCGACGACUGUGGCAGACCUCCCCCCCCGGGGCCCGAGGACACCUGCGCGGAGGAGGAGGAGACAAAGGAGAGCGGCCCGGGGCCCGCGGGGCGGCGCGGAGACGGCGGGGGAGAGUCGCUGAUGACUAUGGGGGGCUCCUGGGCCGCGCGGGGCUGUCUCGCGGGGGGCGUCCUGCCCUCCGCCGCCGCGGCGUCUUCGCCCACCCGCCGCGCCUGCGCGCGCCCCCCGCCGGCCGCAGGGGGAAGAGAGGCCACUCUCGGCACGACGGCCGCGACGGCAGGGCCGCCCCCAGACCCAGAUCCCACCCCCGCCCGCAACGGGGCGCCGCCGCUGCUGCUGCUCCGCGGGGCGCCAGGGGGCGCCGGUCGGGUCGCGGCGGGCUGGGAGGUUCCGCGGGUCGCCCCCGCACCGCCGCCCCCGCGCCGGGGCGCUCUUCGGGGGGCGGGCGGGACGUAGUCCGCUGCAGAGGGAGACAGAGACGGGAACCCCCGGUUAGUGCCCGACCCCCGCCCGACCCCCGCCCAGUGCCCGACCCCCGCCCAGUGCCCGACCCCCGCCCAGUGCCCGACCCCCGCCCAGUGCCCGACCCCCGCCCGCCCUCACCGUCGGCCAGGUCAUCGUCCUCGUCGUCCGUGCCGGGCCACGGGGGGGUGGGCGACAGGGCGCGGACCGUGUGUCCCCCCAGCGACAGGGAGCGCGGGGCCGUCCGCGGGUUGCCCGUCCAGAUAAAGUCCACGGCCGUGCCGGACCGCACGGCCGCCUCGGCCUCCACGCGGGUCCGGGGGUCGUUCACUAUCGGGAUGGUGCUGAACGACCCGCUGGCGGUCACGCCCACUAUCAGGUACGCCACCGGGGUGUUGCACAGGGGACACGUGUUGCGCAACGGAAUCCAGGUCUUCAUGCACGGGAUGCAGAAGGGGUGCAGGCAGGGAAAACUCUGGCAGCGCAGGGGCGGGGCGAUCUCGUCCGUGCACACGGCACACACGUCGCCCCCCCCUCCCGCUUCCGCUUCCUCCUCACCCACGGGCCCACCCCCGCAGGAUCCCUGCGCGUCGGCGGGCGUGGGGCUGCCCUGGCGCUCGGCCGGGGGCCGGGCCGGGGGCGUGGCCGCGUCCAUCAGGCCCGCCUCGAACAUCUCCGUGUCCGUGCUGCCCGCCUCGGAGGUGGAGUCGCGGUGAAGGUCGUCGUCAGAGAUUCCCACCUCGGUCUCCUCCUCCGAGUCGCUGCUGGCGAGCCACUGCAUGUCGUUGAGCAUCCCCCAGGCGUGCGGGGCGGCGGGCUGCUUGACAAAGAAACGGGGGGGGAUUUAGAGGGCGCGGGGCGUGAGGCGGGACCCCCGUGCCGUGUCCCCCGUGUCCCUCCCUCACCCCGGCCCCCCGCCCGCUGCUUUUUGUUCGGAAGGGGGGGAGAAAGGGGUCCGUAACCAAAGGUGGUCUGCGUCCUUUGGAUUCCGACCCCUCGUCUCCCCCCCCUGUCCCCCGCUCUCGGGCUCAGGGCUCCCUGCCUCCCUCGCCCCCCCAAAGGGUCGGGGGGCGGCGCACGGCCCACGGGGGUCCCCCGACCGCUUAAGCGGGCCGGGGGUCGGCCCCGUCAAGCGUCCCCGCCCCCGAGCCCACCGCCCGCGACCACCCCCAACCCGCAGCCGGGUGGUCCGGGGAAAAGGGGGGGCCUGAGACCCGGGGGUCGCCCUCUCACCGUGCCGGGGGUCUGCCGCGGCGGCCGCUCGGGGCCGGGGUCCGCCCGGGAGCUCGUGCCGGGCCGGGGUUCCAUGAGCCGGGGUAGGGUAGACUCGAGACGGCGGCCCGCGGUCUCUCUCUUGCCGGGUGUUAGUCUCUGUCUCUCCGGGUCUCCUCCUCCCGCCGGGCCGCCGCUCCGUCGCUCGCAGUGCCGGGGUGCGAAUGCGGCCCGACCGUCACACGGGGCUGCCUUAUACCCGGCGCCUAUCCACUCCCCCAAAGGGGCGGCAUUUACGAUUCCCCCAAUAGCCGCGCGCCCCGGCGGGGGCGGAGGGAGGGAAUCCCCCCCUCUCGGGGCGGCCCCGUCCCCGGGGACCAACCGGGUGUACUCCAAGAACCCCAUUAGCAUGCGCCGCCCCCCGCCGACGCAGAUGGGAGUCCCCCCGGCGCCCCGCCGGCGCGGCCCUGAGUGGUGCCCGCCCCCGGGGAGAAAUUCAUUAGCAUACUAGGAAGCCCAGGGGACCAAUAGGGGCCGAUCAGCCCACCCACCCGGCGGCGCGCGAGGCUCUGCGUGUUCUGCCAAGAAAGUAAUCAGCAUAACCCGGAACCCCGAGGGAGUAAUUACGCGGGGAGCGAGGGGCCGUCCGAACGUUUUUAAUUACCAUAAGCGGGAAUGGCGGCCCGUUAAAAGCUGCUAAUUACCGCGAGCGGGAACGCCGGCCCAUUAAAAGUUGCUAAUUACCAUGAGCGGGGAUGGCGGCCGGGACCGCCUAUUAAAAGUUUCUAAUUACCAUACCGGGAAGCCGGCGCGGGGCGGUCGCCGGGGCGGAGUCCGGGCCCGCGCGGCGGCGCGCGGUUGGCCGGCGCCGCCCCCUGGGGCGGGCGGAGCGGCGGGGCGGCGCCGGGCCCUCGCGGAUAUAUACGCGGGGCUCCCAUCGUCUCUUCGGAGAGCGGCCUCGCGCAGACCUUCGGAGCUCCGGGGCUCCGCCGGCCGAGGCCGCCCUCGCCGGUUCAACCCUAGACCGCCCGACGGCCCGGGCCCGCGGCGGCGGAGGACCCGCGCGCCGCCGCCGCCGCCUCCUCCUCCUCCUCCGCGGGUCCGCCGUCUUCGUGGGCCCGGGCUCGGGCUCGGGCCCGAGCUCGGGCCUCGGGUUCCAGGCACGGUCCGAUGACCGCCUCGGCCGCCGCCACGCGGCGCCGGAACCGGUCGCGGUCGGCCCGCUCGCGCGCCCAGGACCCCCGUCGGGCCAGGCGCGCGGCCGUCUCCCAGGCCACCAGAUAGCGCACCUGCACGCGCGGCGAGAAGCACACCUGCGGGCGGGGAGACACGGGGGUCAGGGGGUCGGAGGGGCGUCAGGGGGUCGGAGGGGCGUCAGGGGGUCGGAGGGGCGUCAGGGGGUCGGAGGGGAGGCGCACCUUCCCGCGCGGCGCGUCCGCGGGCGGGGACGCGGGGGGCCGCCGCCGGCGCAGGCUCAGGCGCGCCAGGUACUCCGUCGUGGUGCGCAGCCGUAGGGCCAGGUGGGGCGGAAGGGGGCGCUGCGGCCCGCGCUCCUUGCGCGGCGGCGGCGGGGGGCAGGCGGCGGCAGGCGCGGCGUGCGGGGCCUCCGGCGCCUUCCCCCCGCCCUCGCUCGGGGGGCUGUUCGCCCACUCUGCGUCGUCGUUGCCGGCGUAGUCCGCGUCGUCGCUGUCGUCCGCCUGGGGCACCAGCAGCCAGCGCCGCAGGAGCGAGGACGCGGCCGGCGCGCUCUCGACCGCGGUUCCCGAGUCGUACGCAGGGACCAUUUGGGAGUCUGCGGUUGGGAGCGCGCCGGGGCGCGGCACGGCUGGAGCGCCGGGGCGCGGCCGGCGCCGGGGACCCCGGCGGCGGGGACGCCGGCGGGACAUGGCGGGCGGCUGGGCUCGGCGUAGGCCCGGAGCCGGAGCGCGUCGGGGCGGGAGAGUUCACUCGGCACGCAUGCACGUGUAACCGCCAGUCCGUGCUUGCCUAGCGAACUCACCCGUCCCGGCUGGCGUGCGCAGCCCGGGCCGUGUUGCGGGCCCUCUUAAGGGGCGGCGGCAGGACGGGGACUCCGCCCCGCCUCCUUUCCCCCGGGGAGUCAACCCCCGGGGGGGUGUUUUUGGGGGGGG
This 5182-nucleotide small RNA is filed under the name Human alphaherpesvirus 2. Its description in RNAcentral is "LAT". The stretch from base 4789 to 4869 matches the Rfam family "mir-H3 microRNA precursor family". The record is from RNAcentral. Lineage: Duplodnaviria; Heunggongvirae; Peploviricota; Herviviricetes; Herpesvirales; Orthoherpesviridae.